CUAUAAUAAAGGCUCUUGCAAAAGACAUUAGCAUACACUUGAAUCACAGGGUAAGAAAAAUAUGCUAUGGGCCUAAUAAGGUGAUGGUCAUGGUUGAGAACGGAAGGAAAUUUAUAGCUGAUGCUGCUAUAGUUACAGUACCCAUUGGGAUUCUAAAAGCCAAUUUAAUUCAGUUUGAACCCAAGUUGCCAGAAUGGAAGGUUGCUUCAAUUUCAGAUAUUGGUGUUGGCAGUGAA
Molecule: unclassified non-coding RNA, 236 nt
Filed under: Hevea brasiliensis (rubber tree)
Lineage: Eukaryota; Viridiplantae; Streptophyta; Magnoliopsida; Malpighiales; Euphorbiaceae
Source: RNAcentral